CUUUGGCCGUGAGGAGGCGGCGGCCGCGGCUCCCGGGACGUCCCGUCCCUGCGGGACGCCCGUCCCGAUUCUCGGCCUGAAAUUCCUCUUGCUAGUCUUCCAUUCUGUUAAAUGCUUCGCAAACCAGAGCAAAGGAAGAGACAUGAAGAGUUGAAUUUCACUGCCUUGUUUGGAACUGGGUGGAAAUCCUGGAGAUGGAUCUCUUAGGAGUCUGUCUUCCAAUUGGGUUAGAUGCACAGGAGCAAUGGAUCGCCCCAGCUACCUGGAAGAGGACUAUUCUAGCCUGGAUGGGCUGGACGAUGACGUGUUUCACUCUGAUGACUUUGGACUUGCAGGUCAGCCUGGUGAGAUGACUGCAACUGGCUUUUUCACACAGAACCAGUCCUACAGCUGCCUUCUGGGGAGGUUUCAACUAUUCCCCCUCACACACUGCUGUGGUCCCGGUAUCAGGCAUCCUGAGCAGCAGGACAAGGCAACUCAAACACUCAGCCCGUCCUCUUCCAGUCAGGAUGUUAUGUUGCCUUGUGGAGUCACUGAAGAGCCACGGAGACUCUUCUAUGGGAAUGCUGGUUACCGUUUACAUGUCCCUCCAGCUGGCUUUGGGUUGGAUCCACACCUCCAAGAGGAACCUCAGGAAGGUCAGCAGGAAGCACGUGCUGAGGUGCAGAUUGCACGGAAGUUGCAGUGCAUUGCCGACCAGUUCCACCGGCUCCACAUACAGAGGGAAAAAUCUUCCGAAAAGUUUCCUAUUAAUGUAAUACAGAGACUCAGACGGUCCUGCAGCUGAGACUGUAGCACCGGCAGCUCCGUACUUUACUUGUACCUGCAGUCUCUUUGAGACUUGGGAAGAGGUGGGCUUGGAAGUGCACCUUCCCCUAUGCAUACAAAUGAUACAACAACCUAUUGCCCCUUACCUAGCACCCGUUCUGAAAUCCUGCUGCCUGUGGAGCUGAUUACUUGACAUUUAGGUUAACAGAAACUUGCUGGACCCUUUCACAUCUGAUCUGAAAUCGUGUUCUUUGGUAUGUUAAGAAACUGAGAAAUGUACAUAGUUAUGCCACUGUAUAAAUUUAUGUUUCUCCUAUAUCUUGAAUGUUACACACAAUUCUCGUUUUCUUCUUCCAAAAAUGAUGUGGCAGAACUGCAUCUCUGAAAAGGUUCAGAGAAAGGCAAGAAGAAUGAUGAAACUUCCAUAUGAAAAAAUGGGCUAGGACUGCUAAGCCUAAAAAAAGACACAAAGCAAGAGGGAAGCAACAUUAAACAGAAAUCAAAAGUGAUGUGAAGGAGAUGGAUAGACCAACUUCUCCCAGUACAAGAACUAGGCAAAAUAAAGUCAAGCUAGUAGGAGCCAGUUCAAAGUAAAUGAGGUAUUUUUUUUUUUUUUCAUGCAACAGGUAGCUCUGUGGAGCUCCUUGUCAAGGCAUAUUGUGCAUCCCAGUGCUUUAUCUGGGUUCAAGGGGAAUCGAGACAAGUUUAUGGCCAUUGAAGCAGACAUUAAAUAAACAGAAACCAGAUCUAACUCGGGAAGUCCUAAGCUCAAACUAGUUAGAUGCUGAAAGAGUAUUAGGGGGAGCUAUUGCGUGUACUUGCCCUCAGCUUUUCUUCAGGCAGCCUUGUAAUGCUGCUGUUGGAGGCUGGGCUAUGCAAACUCUUGAUGCAAGUCACAUACAACCACUGUGUAUCAGUUAAAUAAAAACCACAAAACUUUUGCAUCAGCCUAAUCUAGCCUUCUUCUCUAUGCUUUCAGCUGACAAGAGAUUUAAAUAUAUUAUGGGUUUGUUCCUGCUUAAAAUAAGGGAUAAUGUUAAAAAGCAAAACUUCCUGCCUAGCUCUGGUAGAGGAAGUGGGCAGAGGAUAAGGGAGCUGGGUGGCGGCAGGAGAGCCCUGCAAGCUCUGUGCAAUGGUACACUGUGAAUCCUUCACCCUGCCAGACACAGAACUGCGCUGUCUUCAGGCAGUGAGGCCACAACCUCAAAAGACCAAGAUUGCCCACAAUAAAGAGCACAAAAUAGU
Empidonax traillii (willow flycatcher) is the source of this 2013-nucleotide RNA transcript. It is a transcript of the gene named Bcl2 modifying factor, with no coding region annotated. The record is from RefSeq and is a predicted model, not a curated record. The transcript is spliced from 6 exons. Lineage: Eukaryota; Metazoa; Chordata; Aves; Passeriformes; Tyrannidae.